RNAcentral lists this ribosomal RNA (478 nucleotides) under uncultured bacterium. Its description in RNAcentral is "partial 16S ribosomal RNA". It matches the Rfam family "Bacterial small subunit ribosomal RNA", at positions 28 to 523 of the family's 1533-position model. The record is from RNAcentral.
GACGAACGCUGGCGGCGUGCUUAACACAAGCAAGUCGAACGGUAAGGCCCUUCGGGGUACACGAGUGGCGAACGGGUGAGUAACACGUGGGUGAUCUGCCCUGCACUUCGGGAUAAGCCUGGGAAACUGGGUCUAAUACCGGAUAGGACCACUGCCUGCAUGGGUGGUGGUGGAAAGCUUUUGCGGUGUGGGAUGGGCCCGCGGCCUAUGAGCUUGUUGGUGGGGUGAUGGCCUACCAAGGCGACGACGGGUAGCCGGCCUGGGAGGGUGACCGGCCACACUGGGACUGAGAUACGGCCCAGACUCCUACGGGAGGCAGCAGUGGGGAAUAUUGCACAAUGGGCGCAAGCCUGAUGCAGCGACGCCGCGUGAGGGAUGACGGCCUUCGGGUUGUAAACCUCUUUCAGCACCGACGAAGCGCAAGUGACGGUAGGUGCAGAAGAAGGACCGGCCAACUACGUGCCAGCCGCCGCAGUAA